This 497-nucleotide ribosomal RNA is filed under the name uncultured bacterium. RNAcentral describes it as "partial 16S ribosomal RNA". It matches the Rfam family "Bacterial small subunit ribosomal RNA", at positions 28 to 507 of the family's 1533-position model. The record is from RNAcentral.
GAUGAACGCUGGCGGCGUGCCUAAUACAUGCAAGUCGAGCGAACAGACGAGGAGCUUGCUCCUUUGACGUUAGCGGCGGACGGGUGAUUAACACGUAGGUAACCUACCUCUAAGACUGGGAUAACUUCGGGAAACCGGAGCUAAUACCGGAUAAUAUUUCGAACCGCAUGGUUCGAUAGUGAAAGAUGGCUUUUCUAUCACUUAUAGAUGGACCUGCGCCGUAUUAGCUAGUUGGUAAGGUAACGGCUUACCAAGGCAACGAUACGUAGCCGACCUGAGAGGGUGGUCGGACACACGGGAACUGAGACACGGUCCAGACUCCUACGGGAGGCAGCAGUAGGGAAUCUUCCGCGAUGGGCGAAAGCCUGACGGAGCAACGCCGCGUGAGUGAUGAAGGUCUUCGGAUCGUAAAACGCUGUUAUUAGGGAAGAACAAACGUGUAAGUAACUGUGCACGUCUUGACGGUACCUAAUCAGAAAGCCACGGCUAACUACGUG